Molecule: transfer RNA, 72 nt
Filed under: Bacteroidaceae bacterium
Lineage: Bacteria; Pseudomonadati; Bacteroidota; Bacteroidia; Bacteroidales; Bacteroidaceae
Description: tRNA-Thr
Rfam family: tRNA
About the family: Transfer RNA (tRNA) molecules are approximately 80 nucleotides in length. Their secondary structure includes four short double-helical elements and three loops (D, anti-codon, and T loops).
Source: RNAcentral
GGCUCUAUAGUUUUAGUGGUAGAACGAGGCCCUCGUAAAGCUUAGGCAUGAGUCCGAUUCUCAUUAGAGCCU